GUUAAUGGAAAUUUUUUUUACUAACAAUGCAAAAUUACAAGUAUUGAAAAUUUCUUUUUACUAAUAAUGUAAAAUUACAAUUAUUCAUUUAUCAUAAAUUUAACUUCAUAUCCCUAAUUAAAAAAAUGCUAAUAACUACAUAAUCUUUUUUUUUUUAAUCUCAAUUUAACCAUGUCUCAGAUUUUCAUCGAAUUUACACGUGUUCAUGUUGUUGUAUUGACUUGCACGCGCUAUGCGCGUCCCAUUUCAAGGUCACUUGGCCUAAAAAGCCCCAUACAGUCUCCAGCAACACUCGAACAGGAUAAAGAAGAGGACGCUUGCUUGUGUCUUCUCAUUUAACUUUUCUCUCACAAUGGACUCCUUUGCUAUCUUUUGCACUGGAGCUCUCAUCGCCUGCGGCCUCUACUGGUUCCUCUGCAUUCUCGGCCCCGCAGAGCAAAAAGGCAAACGAGCUGUAGAUCUAUCCGGCGGCUCGAUCUCCGCCGAGAAAGUCCAAGAUAACUACAAGCAGUACUGGUCUUUCUUUCGCCGCCCAAAAGAGAUUGAAACGGCCGAGAAAGUCCCCGAUUUCGUUGACACAUUCUACAACUUAGUCACCGAUAUUUACGAGUGGGGAUGGGGCCAGUCCUUUCACUUCUCUCCCUCUGUCCCAGGCAAGUCCCACCGCGACGCCACGCGCCUCCAUGAAGAGAUGGCCGUUGAUCUCAUCGACGUCAAGCCCGGAGAUCGAAUCCUAGAUGUGGGAUGCGGCGUUGGUGGGCCCAUGCGAGCCAUCGCGGCCCACUCACGCGCCAUUGUUGUGGGCAUCACCAUUAACGAGUACCAGGUGAACCGUGCGCGUUUGCACAACAAGAAAGCAGGCCUAGAUUCACUUUGUGAAGUUGUGUGUGGUAAUUUCCUGGAGAUGCCAUUUCCGGACAACAGCUUCGACGGCGCGUACUCUAUUGAAGCUACAUGCCACGCGCCGAAGCUGGAUGAGGUAUAUGCGGAGGUGUUCCGCGUCUUGAAGCCUGGAUCUCUCUACGUGUCCUAUGAAUGGGUCACAACUGACAAGUACAAGGCUAACGACGCUGAACACGUGGAGAUCAUUCAAGGCAUUGAAAGAGGAGAUGCCUUACCUGGUCUCAGAAGCUACACAGACAUUGCCGAGACGGCGAGGAAAGUAGGGUUCGAGGUGGUGAAAGAGAAGGACUUGGCAAAACCACCAGCGCUCCCAUGGUGGACGAGACUGAAGAUGGGCAGGAUCGCCUACUGGAGGAAUCACAUUCUCAUCACUAUAUUGGCUGCCUUGGGGAUUGCGCCGAAGGGAACCGUCGAUGUCCAUGAGAUGCUUUUCAGAACCGCCGAUUAUCUGACGAAGGGCGGCGACACUGGGAUUUUCACUCCGAUGCAUAUGAUUCUCUGCAGAAAACCUGAGACACCUUCAAAUUCUUAACCCGCCCAAAAAAGGUUGAGGUAACACCUGGUUUUUUAUGUUGCAGUAACUCUAUUCCACCACCCCUUUCCCUGGUGACUUUAGUUUUCUUUCCGUUUUUUAGGCUUUUUUUAUCUUUUUCACUUCUACAACUUAAUUUUUGUUAUGAUCUUUUGUAUUUUUGUUUUGGAAUUUAUUUAAAUGUCUUGGCUGGAUCUUGGGGUUGAAUUACUGUUUUCAUCAUAGUGAAGAAUCAUGAGGUCAAGAAUCUUGUUAUCUGAAUGUAUGUUGUUUUUCCUUUUUUAUGUGGACAUGGGUACUCAACUGAGCCAAAGAACAGUACAAUACUGUGGGAAAGAAAAGGCCUUUUUAUCAGAUAAUUUUGCAGCAUUAUUAUUUUUUAUGUCGGGAAUCCGUUUCCUGGCCUAAUUUAAAUAAAAACGAAAAAUCAAGAUAGCUAUGGAUGGAGUAGGGAAGAGAGCGUGUGAAGUGAAGUUGGGAUUACACGCGGCGCACAUGGAUUACAAAGGCGCUUUUGCCAAUGAAAAAGGCUUAGGUUAGCUGGCCAGCAGUGGAUCUUGAAUUCUUGACUUUUGCUGUGUUGUUGUUUUGCUCAACUCUGGGAUUCCGCCAGAUUGGCUCAGCUGUUGUGGGUUUGUCUUGUUAUGAUUAGUUUUUCUUUUCUUCCAAGUUCUUGCGGCAGCGAGGAGGCCACCAUCCCACUAGAGAUCUAUCUUUUUUAUUAAUCAGCUUUUCCUUCAUUCUUCGCUUGUGUGCUGUGCUCAUAAAUGGUGACUUUGAAUGCCACGUACGGAAUUGGGGUGACUGUAAUCUUGGGAUUGCAUUUAAAAUAGAAGCUACGAGAUUAGAAAGGUAAUCUAUCGUUUAUCAGCUUUCCUUUCAAGAUCAUUAUAUGUUGGAUUCAGAAUGUGGACAGUCAAGUUAUGCGACCUUAUAUGAAAUAUAUAACCCCUGAUUAAAAUCUCUUUACGAAACAUGAAAUGAAAUUGGUUGAAUGUCCACACAAGUGGGAGGGGGUGUCGUGCCAACUGCCAAUGAACCGUGGGUUGGCAUCCAAAGUAAUAGAUGGUUGUGGGGUUAGCUGCCCUGUAAGGGGUAAGGCAUUGCCGGUGGGCUCAAGCAGUUAUCAAUGCAAGGAUCUUUAUCGGCAGGGACAGCUACGUAAGGCUAAAAAGUGGGAAGAUUUUGGGCAUUGUAUGCAUCUCUAAGUAUUAAUUGAAGGAAGGAUGACGUCGAGUUGGAUGUCCCAAAUUCAGAAUCUUCUUUAAGGUUUCAUAUUAAAUUUAGUUGUGUUGCCAUGAAUAGGACCGAGAUAUGAGAGAAUGAUCUGGUUACAUUUGACUAAGGACUCUUAUUAAUGCCUCAUCAAUGUGCAAGUUUAUAACAUUCAAUUCUUGCAUUAUUUUUUCCUACUUGCAGUUGUGUUUCUGUUAGUUAUUAUAUUCUUUUGUUAUGCUGUAGAAUGGAAGAUUGUUGGGAACACUUGGGAAAUCUAUAAAAUGAAAGGCUAAAAUAUAAAUGGUUGGA
This 2962-nucleotide unclassified non-coding RNA is filed under the name Hevea brasiliensis (rubber tree). The record is from RNAcentral. Lineage: Eukaryota; Viridiplantae; Streptophyta; Magnoliopsida; Malpighiales; Euphorbiaceae.